UAAUGGGGUAACUCAUGAGACUAUGGUUA
This 29-nucleotide non-coding RNA is filed under the name Mus musculus (house mouse). RNAcentral also lists the same sequence under 1 other name. Lineage: Eukaryota; Metazoa; Chordata; Mammalia; Rodentia; Muridae. The record is from RNAcentral.